GUUAGGAAUAUUGGACAAUGGGCGCAAGCCUGAUCCAGCCAUGCCGCGUGAGUGAUGAAGGCCUUCGGGUUGUAAAGCUCUUUAGUCCACGAAUAUAAUGACUGUAGUGGAAGAAUAAGCCCCGGCUAACUUCGUGCCAGCAGCCGCGGUAAUACGAAGGGGGCGAGCGUUAUUCGGAAUCACUGGGCGUAAAGCGUGCGUAGGCUGUUUUGUAAGUCAGAAGUGAAAGCCCAGGGCUUAACCCUGGGAUUGCUUUUGAAACUACAAGACUCGAAUUCGGGAGAGGAUAGCGGAAUUGUCAGUGUAGCAGUGAAAUGCGUAGAUAUUGACAGGAACACCAGUGGCGCAAGCGGCUAUCUGGACCGAUAUUGACGCUGAGGCACGAAAGCGUGGGGAGCAAACAGGAUUAGAUACCCCUGUAGUCC
Molecule: ribosomal RNA, 425 nt
Filed under: uncultured bacterium
Lineage: Bacteria
Description: partial 16S ribosomal RNA
Rfam family: Bacterial small subunit ribosomal RNA
Source: RNAcentral